RNAcentral lists this transfer RNA (67 nucleotides) under Marmota monax (woodchuck). RNAcentral's name for it is "tRNA.Ala". Lineage: Eukaryota; Metazoa; Chordata; Mammalia; Rodentia; Sciuridae. The record is from RNAcentral.
GGUUGUGGCUCAGUGGUAGAGUACUUGCCUAGCACAUGUGAGGCACUGGGUUCAAUUCUCAGCACCA